This 292-nucleotide ribosomal RNA is filed under the name uncultured bacterium. RNAcentral's name for it is "partial 16S ribosomal RNA". RNAcentral also lists the same sequence under 1 other name. The record is from RNAcentral.
GGACUACCGGGGUUUCUAAUCCUGUUUGCUCCCCACGCUUUCGCACUUGAGUGUCAGUAUUGGUCCAGGAGGUCGCUUUCGCCACUGAUGUUCCUUCCGAUAUCUACGCAUUUCACCGCUACACCGGAAAUUCCACCUCCCUCUCCCAUACUCAAGCAAAGCAGUCUCGACUGCAGUUCCCAGGUUAAGCCCGGGGAUUUCACAAUCGACUUGCAAAGCCACCUACGUGCGCUUUACGCCCAGUAAUUCCGAUUAACGCUCGCACCCUCUGUAUUACCGCGGCGGCUGGCAC